This is a long non-coding RNA of Myripristis murdjan (pinecone soldierfish), 661 nucleotides long. RefSeq lists it as uncharacterized. NCBI's taxonomy places the organism in Eukaryota, Metazoa, Chordata, Actinopteri, Holocentriformes, Holocentridae. The transcript has 2 exons. The record is from RefSeq and is a predicted model, not a curated record.
CUUGUUAAAGAGCUGGUGAUCGAGUUCACCCGGGUUCUGCUAGGUGCUGCACUCCUGCCAUCUCUUUAGGAUGAAGAAGAAUGGUCUGCAAAUAGGAAAUAGUGCACUAGCAUUCAUCACGGGGAAACGCCUGGUAUAGAUUUACACGUUACAUCACAACAUCUGGCCCUAAACCAAAAUUGGGAAAUAAACAUGGCUGUAGAUGAAGAGUGAAAUAUCUGGUCACGUCUCGUCAUAGCGUGUUCAAGACAGUUGAGCGCUGGGAAAUGUUGUACGUCCGAAACGAAAGGAACAAAAUAACCAGGGGACAGUGCUGCCACAAGAGCCUUAACCGCUGCGUUGAAAAUGCUGCCUCUGACAUGAUGACAUUCUCCUUUUCUCACACUGGAGGCCUUCCAGUUGCGAGUUGUCUUGAGCGGCUCUUUAGUGUGACACGGGGAAGAAGAAGGACUCGCAGCCACCAGCGGAGCCGGGCUGAGCUGCCUGCCUCAGAGUCCUGCUGAGACCUGCCAGACCUACAGUUUUCCCUGCCAGGGGCCUCGGCUCACAGUCACAACAGGAUCGCCUACAUGCCGUCCCAAGAUGAUGAUGUGAAGCCAGCAGUCUGAGUUCACAGAGGGGAGGAACUGAUCCCACAACCUUCAAUACCCAACCCAAAUCA